This 1134-nucleotide ribosomal RNA is filed under the name uncultured bacterium. RNAcentral's name for it is "bacterial SSU rRNA". It matches the Rfam family "Bacterial small subunit ribosomal RNA", at positions 230 to 1365 of the family's 1533-position model. The record is from RNAcentral.
CUCGCGUGACAUUAGCCAGAUGGUGAGGUAACGGCUCACCAUAGCAAUGAUGUCUAGGGGUUUUGAGAGGAAGGCCCCCCACACUGGGACUGAGACACGGCCCAGACUCCUACGGGAGGCAGCAGUGAGGAAUAUUGGACAAUGGAUGGAAAUCUGAUCCAGCCAUGCCGCGUGCAGGAAGACGGCCUUAUGGGUUGUAAACUGCUUUUAUACGGGAGCAAUAAGGGUUACGAGUAAUCCGAUGAGAGUACUGUAUGAAUAAGGAUCGGCUAACUCCGUGCCAGCAGCCGCGGUAAUACGGAGGAUCCGAGCGUUAUCCGGAAUUAUUGGGUUUAAAGGGUGCGUAGGCGGCCAUUUAAGCCAGCGGUGAAAUUUUGCAGCUUAACUGUAACAGUGCCGUUGAUACUGUUUGGCUAGGAUUUGGUUGUAGUGUGCGGAAUGUGUGGUGUAGCGGUGAAAUGCUUAGAUAUCACACAGAACACCGAUUGCGAAGGCAGCACACUAAGUCAUUAUUGACGCUGAGGCACGAAAGUGUGGGGAUCAAACAGGAUUAGAUACCCUGGUAGUCCACACUGUAAACGAUGAUAACUCGCUGUCGGCGAUACACAGUCGGUGGCCAAGCGAAAGCAUUAAGUUAUCCACCUGGGGAGUACGACCGCAAGGUUGAAACUCAAAGGAAUAGACGGGGGCCCGCACAAGCGGAGGAACAUGUGGUUUAAUUCGAUGAUACGCGAGGAACCUUACCCGGGCUCGAACGGUGCAUGAAUAUACGAGAGAUUGUAUAGUCUUUCGGGACAUGUAUCGAGGUGGUGCAUGGUUGUCGUCAGCUCGUGCCGUGAGGUGUCGGCUUAAGUGCCAUAACGAGCGCAACCCUCGUCAUUAGUUGCCAUCAGGUCAAGCUGGGGACUUUAAUGAGACUGCCACCGUAAGGUGUGAGGAAGGGGGGGAGGACGUCAAAUCAGCACGGCCCUUAUGUCCGGGGCGACACACGUGUUACAAUGGGAGGUACAGAGGGCAGCUAUCCGGUGACGGAAUGCUAAUCUCCAAAACCUUUCUCAGUUCGGAUUGGAGUGUGCAACUCGACUCCACGAAGGUGGAUUCGCUAGUAAUCGCGCAUCAGCCAUGGCGCGGCGA